Molecule: long non-coding RNA, 604 nt
Organism: Herpailurus yagouaroundi (jaguarundi)
Lineage: Eukaryota; Metazoa; Chordata; Mammalia; Carnivora; Felidae
Exons: 2
Source: RefSeq, a predicted model, not a curated record
UGUAGGGCUUGAUCUCACGAACCAUGAGAUCAAGACCUAAGCUGAAAUCAAAAAUUGGAUGCUUAGCCAACUGGGCCAUCCAGGCGCCCUUGCAAAUAUCCAUAUUAUUCCUCUUAAGUAUCGCUCACAGAGCUGGGCACACAAAGACACUUAAUAUAAAUAUAAGGAAUGAAUACUACUGCCUAAUUAACAUUUGAUCUCUCUGUUCCUACCCCAUUUGGCCACUUGGAAAGGAGUCAGAGGACACAUACUAGAAAUCCCCAUUUCUGCAAUGAAGGCCAACCAUAGGUCUUCCCAAGACAAUUCAGAUAUCUGUUUAUUUCAAUUUGCUCAUGUAUCUAUAGCUCUAAAGUAUGUGAGUUAAAAUUGAGCUUCUGUGGACAGAAAGAGAAAAGGCUAAGAACGAAGAAAGUCCCUGACCUUGUGUGGGACCUACUUAGAAGUAAAAAGUUUUGCCUUAUUGUUAUUUAGUUUCCCAAGUAUUUAUUUCCUCUUGAAAUGUGAGGUAUGGAGAGCCUCACUAACCCCUUUGCAAAGGUUUUGAUUCACCAAAUUUAAAAUAACUGCUACCUAAACAGACCGCUACACAACGAUGUAUACCAUG